RNAcentral lists this long non-coding RNA (1619 nucleotides) under Brassica rapa (field mustard). RNAcentral's name for it is "long non-coding RNA (BRAP_LNC001157)". Lineage: Eukaryota; Viridiplantae; Streptophyta; Magnoliopsida; Brassicales; Brassicaceae. The record is from RNAcentral.
CACAACUCACAAGAUAAGUUCAAAGUGAUAAAAAAACACACAAGUUCACACAACAAUGAAAAGUGAAAAUACAUAAGUUCACAAAUCACAAGUUCACAAGUCACAAUAUUGUUUUAUAACAAAGAGAGUUUCAUUUCUUCACUUGGUCACCACCUUCUUCUUCUUUCUUCCACCAUCUUCUUGUUCUUGUUCUUCUUCUUCAUAUUCACCUUCAUUUUCUUCAUUUUCAUCUUCAGAAUCACCUAACAUAUAAUGAUAUCAACAAAAAGUCAAGAAUCGAUGAUGACCAUAUCAUAUAUAAUAUAACAAAAAAUGACUUUACUUAAACAAAUGAGAGCGACUCUACUUAAACUGUCAAGCAAUAAAGCUGAGCAAUAAAACCAAACAAGCUAAUUGAAUAUCAGUGUUCCAAGGAGAGCGACUCUACUUAAACAAAUGAUUCACACAAGACAUAACAAGUGUCUGCAGAGAACAACCCUACUGCCCUAAAACCGAGCUUGUACAGAUAUCAUUAUUAGCUAUCAAAAUCAGUAGUCCCCUAACAGAUGAGAGCUUGUACAGAUGAGAGCUUGAUAAAAAAUAUAUCAAGUUUCCUGGGUGCUUAAGUUGAAACCCACGUAUUUUUUAUGCCACCAAACCAUCUCUCUCAUUUGUCUUAUACCAAAAUAUAUCAAGUUGCCUACGUGCGUCGCUCAAGUUGAAGGCAAGAAAUAUUAUUUAUUAUUUAACAGCACUAAUGUUGUCAAAAAGAACACAUCAUAUAAAAUACGUUCUGAAACUAUAGAUUUAAGCAGCAACAAGAGGACUCACCUUGACUUGAAUUUGUCAAUCAAAUGCAAUAGGGAAGGGGAGGUGCAACAUCAACAAAAGCAACAACAAUAGCAGCUUCAAACUAGAUGAUUUUCCACCACCUAACCAAACAAAGAGAAAAAAAAUUGACAUGAUCUACUAAAGGCUAAACUCAAUCAUUAACACAUAACACAAUAGAAAGCAGAUGACUUUAACGAUUACCAUAGGUUUUAAACAAUGCCCAAAUCAUAAAGGUAAGAACUUUACAAAACCCAAAAGACAGAUCCGAUUCAAUCAACAAUCUCUCUGAUUACAACAGGUAACAACCCAUUCUCGAAACACUCUAAAGCAGAUGACUUUAACAAUUACCUACGAAGAUGUUAAGCCUUAUAUUGAACGUGUGGCUAAUGGAGAACCCUCAGAUAUCAUCACGGGCGAACCUAUUACUCAUUUUUUCUUAAGGUAUAUACGUUGUCAAAUUACAACAAGACAAAGAACCCAUUCUCGAAACACACUUGAAAGCAGAUGACUUUAAACGAUUUAUUACCUUAGGCUUUAAGUUAGAAUCAACACCAUCGAAUCUGUAGCUAAAAAUGAAAAGCCAUAACACAAAUCACACAUAAACAGUUCAAAGAUGACAAAAUCAAACCUCGAGAGAUGACGAAAUCAGAGACAGCGAAGAAGAGCGAAGAGGACUCGAAGAAGGAGAAGGAAAAUCGAAGAAGGAGAAGAAGAAUCGCAGGAGAAGAAGAAGAAUCGCAGGAGACGAGAAAAAAAAAAAGAAAUCGUGUUUUCCCCUAAUUUCCUAACCCUAGACAUUUAAGCUUAUU